This 497-nucleotide ribosomal RNA is filed under the name uncultured bacterium. RNAcentral describes it as "partial 16S ribosomal RNA". It matches the Rfam family "Bacterial small subunit ribosomal RNA", at positions 28 to 507 of the family's 1533-position model. The record is from RNAcentral.
GACGAACGCUGGCGGCGUGCCUAAUACAUGCAAGUCGAGCGCUGACGGAUGGUACUUGUACCAACUGGAUGAGCAGCGAACGGGUGAGUAACGCGUGGGGAAUCUGCCACUGAGCGGGGGACAACAUCUGGAAACGACUGCUAAUACCGCAUAAAACCUUUAAACACAAGAUGCAAGUUUGAAAGAUGCAAUGGCAUCACUCAAAGAUGAUCCCGCGUUGUAUUAGCUAGUUGGUGAGGUAAAGGCUCACCAAGGCGAUGAUACAUAGCCGGCCUGAGAGGGUGGUCGGCCCCAUUGGGACUGAGACACGGCCCAAACUCCUUCGGGGGGCAGCCGUAGGGGAUCUUCGGCCAUGGGCGGCAGUCUGGCCGAGCAACGCCGCGUGAGUGGAGAAGGGUUUCGGAUCGUAAAACUCUGUUUGUAGAGAAGAACGUGGGUGAGAGUAGAAAGCUCAUCAAGUGACGGUAACUACCCAGAAAGGGACGGCUAACUUCGUG